This 468-nucleotide ribosomal RNA is filed under the name uncultured bacterium. Its description in RNAcentral is "partial 16S ribosomal RNA". It matches the Rfam family "Bacterial small subunit ribosomal RNA", at positions 28 to 507 of the family's 1533-position model. The record is from RNAcentral.
AACGAACGCUGGCGGCAUGCCUAACACAUGCAAGUCGAACGAAAAGGUCCUGCUUAUGUGGGGUGCUCGAGUGGCGAACGGGUGAGUACCACGUGAGUAACCUGCCCUUGACUUAGGGUUAACUUCAUGACACUGAGGCUAAUCCCGGCUAGGAGCUCCCGCCGCGUGGUGGGGCUUCGAACGUUUCGGCGGUUGGGGAUGGACUCGCGCGUUAUCAGCUUGUUGGUGGGGUGGUCGCUUACCAAGGCUUUGACGGGUAGCUGACCUGAGAGGAGAGACGGCCACGUUGGGCGUGAGGUACGGCCCAGACCCCUACGGGAGGCAGUGGUGGGGUGUAUUGCACUAGGCGCGGAAGCCAGGUGUAGCAACGCCGCGUGCGGGGAGCGGGCCAUCGCUUUGUAAUGCACUUUCGCCUGUGCCGGGACGAGAGUGACGGUAACGGGUAAAGAAGCACCGGCUAACUACGUG